AAAGUCGUAACAAGGUUUCCGUAGGUGAACCUGCGGAAGGAUCAUUAUCGUGGGGCUCCGGCCCCGUCGAGAUAGAACCCUUGCCUUUUCAAGUACCGUCCGUUUCCUCGGCAGGCCCGCCUGCCAAUGGGGACCCCAAACAAACCCUUUUUGUACCUGUACCAGUCUGAACAACAAACAAAAAUUAAAACUUUCAACAACGGAUCUCUUGGUUCUG
Molecule: unclassified non-coding RNA, 217 nt
Filed under: Ascomycota sp.
Lineage: Eukaryota; Fungi; Ascomycota
Description: partial contains small subunit ribosomal RNA, internal transcribed spacer 1, and 5.8S ribosomal RNA
Rfam family: Eukaryotic small subunit ribosomal RNA (bases 1-47)
Source: RNAcentral